CAGGAGAAAAAGCACUUGCGAAGUCUGCUAAACUCAGGUUAAAAGGCUGAUCAGAUGCCUGCUCUACAUGCAAAAUCAUCGAGUGACUGCAGCAAACACCUCUCAGAACACAAAGAAGCAUCAGGCAGGCGGCAGCUAAAACAAGCCCCCGCCGCCGGGGGAAGCAGCCGGUGGGGCUGUGGUUUCCCACCAAUUUCCCCAGCCCUUAGUUGGCGGGGGGAGGAUUAUUAAACCCUUCUGCUUUGCUCUGAAGUGCUUCAAAUAGAAUGGUAAAUCUAAAUAAUGAGGUGCAUGCUGUUCCCUUCAGUAUGUGCCACAGAUGACAAGCAGGGACCAAAACCAGAAAGGAAAACCAUGCUGCUUGUGAAUGGCACGUCAUCUUUCUUGGUGAUCAACAAACCAAUCACAUUUGUACAGCACUAAACCACAGCCAGUCGCUUCAUCCUCCGUGGAAGUGCUGCAGCUCACAGCCAGGCUGGCAGGGCCACCCCAGCGACGGCGUCCUCUCUGAGGGAAGAGACUGGUUUCCUGAACUCAAAUUUGCCCAUGGCCAUGAGAUGAAGAAGAUGAUUCCUCUUCCAUCUUGUUUUUUUUUUUUUUUUUUGACAGGGAAAUGCAGUAGAAAAUAACUCAAUUUUUAUCUGCUCAACCAUUAAAACACUGAAA
Tyto alba (common barn owl) is the source of this 666-nucleotide long non-coding RNA. RefSeq lists it as uncharacterized. The record is from RefSeq and is a predicted model, not a curated record. Lineage: Eukaryota; Metazoa; Chordata; Aves; Strigiformes; Tytonidae. The transcript has 3 exons.